Molecule: long non-coding RNA, 1114 nt
Organism: Felis catus (domestic cat)
Lineage: Eukaryota; Metazoa; Chordata; Mammalia; Carnivora; Felidae
Exons: 4
Source: RefSeq, a predicted model, not a curated record
GCAGGGUCGGUGGCCCUUCUGUCCACAGCACUUGGUGCCAACUCUCAUCUUCAGUGGUUCAAAGCUUUGAAACCUCUAGAAAAAGAAGUCAGAGAUCCCCACUCGGUCAGGUGUACAUCCUGGACCAAUCAGCUUUUGCCCACAGGCCAGGGGCAGGAGCAGACACAAGGAUGCCAGGAAGGGGUAGGACAAGAAGUUCCUACAGAGAGAGGGUCAUUGUGAGCCAAGAAAGUCAAUGAUGAUAUCAGAAAAGGUGACAGAGAGGGACCAUGAAAUCUUCCUACAUGUGGGGAGUCAGCAAACACAGAAAUCUAACCUGACUGCUGGCGGGCAUUUGGGCCCCCGUGAGGUAGACCUGUCUGACCCCAUCCAGCCUCACCGGAAAUCUCACUGUCUCACCUGGGGGAGCUGGAGGGAGAGAUGCUGAACACAAAGCCUCGGAGACCUUCCCAAGCACAGCUAAGGCAGUUUUAGCUUCUACGCCUUACCAGAUGAGUCUCCUUCCCCCAAACCCCCAAAGUUAUGACUAAACUCGUGGGGAGAACGGCCUUGGGAUGACCCAGAGGUAUAUUCACCAACCCAUUGAGGGUGAAAUGGCCCCCAUGGCUUCAGGAGUAAUUUUCUCAUUGAGUGCACGUCCUUUGAGGAGGAAUGUGUUUGCUGGUAGUGCAAUCUGCUGAGAAUCAAGUGUCCUCAUAGGCCUCUGUAAGUAUUUCUCAAAUGCCAGAAGUAUGAGGGAAGAGGAGGCUUGAGUGUCACAGCCAUAGAUGGAGACGAUUGUGUUCAUAGCUCAUCGCAGACCCACUCAGAGCAGAACCUGAACUUCCGGGGUCAAUGCUGGAUCAAUGUGCCCGGUAUGGCUGGGAAUAUAUACUCAACAGUAUGUGAUUUCUUCCCUGGAUGUGUACAUAUGUCUGUGUGGGGGGCGCGGGGUAUGUGUGUGAUGGGCAACACCCCAUGAUGUCUGGGUUUUCAAAUACUCCCAGGGUCUGGAUAUUGACUUUGGCCAACAUGGAUUAAAUGUGGGGCAAAUUCAGCUUAUGGACUCUAAAAUAGUGAGUCCUAUGUGGUCAGAAGCUCAGAAGAGCACUUGCAAAAACCCAGAUCAUGCCGG